AUUUUUUUCUGAAUCAUUCAGUCUAACUGGAGCCAGGAUCCACACCCGUCAGAGGCUUGCAAAACUCGGAAGACUUCAGAUAAAAUUUAUCUAUUCCUGCAAAAUAUUUAUUUAUUUAUUUAGUACUGAAAGAACGAAGGCAGAGAAAGGUAAACAACAGCCUAUGUAACCAAAACAAAGAAGAUAUUUCUUAAGUUUCCCAUGAAAUUCGGUAACAGCUGAGGUCAUGAUGUAAAACUUGGCCUAAUCGAUAGAAAAUCUUUCUUAGCCUUUAGUGGUGUCUGGAUCGAUUACACCUACCACUCCCUUACACCAUGACUUUAACUACAUUUAUUUCCAGAAAGCAGUUUCAACACAAUUAACUCUACACUACAUCACCAAAUGGAAAACACUGCCUCUUUUUUAUACUUAAUCCACUGUUCUCAUUGUACUUUCUCAUUGCCAUUUUGAUCGUUAACUGUAUCACUGGAUGUGGUUUAAUAAUUAGUCAUUGCUUCUAGAAGCCUUAGUAUGAUAUUCCUCCCUAUUCCUCCGGUGUUGUGGAGAAAAAAAAUACCUUUUUUAUGCCACCACCUGUUGAAAAUCCUUAAUACCAUUUCAAGAUAGUUGCUGUUUUAAUACAGGAUCACAAAAUUACUGGAUUAAGAAUUCAACAGAACAAUCAGAUGUUUAGGUUGUUUGAUCAUAGCACAAGAACCAGCAUGUAAUGAAUCUGAUACACGACAGUCUGAUAUAUAAAGCUGGAAAGAGAAAAACUAAGGCCACAAACAGGAAGCAUGAAUACCUUGCUAGGCAGUUCUGUGAAAAAUACUCCGGGGAUUCAGAUUCAGGGAAUAAAUGGCUUCCAGUCUGAGGUGAAAGAGAAUGUUUGUAACAUUACCCUUCCUUCAUACCUGAAGUACCUUAAGAAGAAAAGAUGCUACAGGUAUAUACAAGUCUACUGAAAAGGAGAAAACCUUAACUACUAUAAAGUACUUUGUUUUGCAUCUGUUCGAUGAAUGUGACCUGUGAAGAUAGAAUCAACUGUGUUACCUCAUGGGACUUAUUGCAAAUUCUAUAAAUUCUUGUAUGUCACUUAGCCCUUAAUCAUGGAACUAGCACAGGUGUCCCUCAGAGCUAGUAAUUCACCAACCCUUAGCUGUGCAGUUACUAGAAAUCAGUCAGUCCACUAGAACCAGAACUACUAGCCCUCUGUGGGAAUGAGAACAUUACAGUUAUCCAGUAUUUUAAUUUUUGGAGAACCUAUUAGAUGCACAAUGACUUCACCUUUGCAUGAGUAGGUUAGAACACAAAAGGAAUGGGUUCAAGACCUUUUAUCAGGCAUUCCACAGUUCAAUUAGGUUUUGUUAGUGUCAUACCCAGCUAAUGCGCUUUACUGCAAAAACUCAGUGAUUCUGUAUCUUAGUGUUAUUGCAGAUAGAAAUUAUGUAACAAUAAUU
This 1439-nucleotide long non-coding RNA is filed under the name Pavo cristatus (Indian peafowl). Its description in RNAcentral is "lncRNA (ENSPSTG00000004557.1)". The record is from RNAcentral. Lineage: Eukaryota; Metazoa; Chordata; Aves; Galliformes; Phasianidae.